RNAcentral lists this long non-coding RNA (11108 nucleotides) under Pelobates cultripes (western spadefoot toad). Lineage: Eukaryota; Metazoa; Chordata; Amphibia; Anura; Pelobatidae. The record is from RNAcentral.
AGACACUGUCUGGGUACAAGUUAAACUGGAUCUCUCUGAGGUUAAUGUUUUCCAGAUUUUACACCUUAUGUUUCAGUUCACUAGAUGUUCAGAUGCACCAAAGAACCAAACAAAGAAGAGACGAGAAGGGAUUAAAGAAAAAAUAUAUCAUGCAAGAUUUGUAAGUAUAUUUCCAGGGUCUAUUUAAGGGGCCUGUUCACUAAAUAGUGAGUCGUGGUUAGUUAAGAAGACUUGUAAAGUGUAGAUCCAAAUAGUUGAUUAAAACAACUUUUUUUGACUCAGCUCCUUUGAAGUUUCUUCCGAGUUUGGUUAAUUUAGCCUACGGUUUGAAAGUUGGAUAUAAAAUCACCACUGCUCAUGUGAUAACUGAUGUAUGCUAUAUCUUACAACUAACCAGUUUGCAUUUCCUUUUAGGCCUUACUCCUUUCCUGGCUGUUCCAGCAGUUAUUAAAGGGACACUAUAGUCACCAAAACAACUUAAAGGGACACUAUAUUCACUAGAACAACUACAGCUUAUUGAAUUUGUUCUGGUGAGUAGAAUCAUUACCUUCAUGCCUUUUGCUGUAAACACUGUCUUUUCAGAGAAAAUGCAGUGUUUACAUUACAGCCUAGUGAAAACUUCACUGGCCACUCCUCAGAUAGCUGCUAGAGAUCCUUCCUGGGUUAUGGCUGCCUAAAAUGCAUCCAAACAUUCAGUGUCUCCUCCCUCUGCAUGCAGACACUGAACUUUCCUCAUAGAGAUUCAUUGAUUCAAUUCAUCUCUAUGAGGAGAUGCUGAUUGGCCAGGGCUAUGUUUGAAUUGUGCUGGCUCUUCCCCUGAUCUGCCUCUUUGUCAGUCUCAGGCAAUCCUAAGGAGAAGCAUUGUGAUUGGAUCAGGCUACCACUUCUGCUGAUGUCAGCAGGCAGUGGGCAGGUCUAAAGGAAACAGGCAUAAAGCAUGCAGUUGCAGACUUGAAUACAAGUAAGAUUUACUAUAUUUAGGGAGGCAAGAGGGGACCAGGGGGCUAGAUGGCGGUUGUAACCCUAUAGGGUCAGGAAUACAUGUUUGUGUUCCUGACCCUAUAGUGCUUCUUUAAGCUUAAUGAAGCAGUUAUGAUGUAUAUAUUAUUCCCUCUGAAGUUUCAUUCCUCAAUUCUCUGCCAUUUAGGAGCUAAAUCACUGGUUUCUGUUUAUGCAGCCCUAGCCAUUCAUCCCCUGCUGUGACUGACACAGCCUGUAUAAAAACAAAAUAGUUUCAAUUUCAAUCAGAUGUUACUUACUUAAAAAAAUUUUUUUUAAUUAAAUUCUUUAUUUUUGCGAUGACAACAUUCAAUGAUAGGUUACACUGAGGUUGGAAGGUACUUAUAGGUAAAAUAUAUAUAGCGUACAAUGCAGUAUUACAGGCAUCAAAUUGUAGAAUAACAUUCGUUACAGUAUUCCAGACAAUGUAUUCCUUUGUGAGAAAAGCAAGGACAAGCUGUCAAGGUAUUUUGUUUAAAACAUAGGAAAAAUAAAGGUAUAACAGAAAGGUAGAAAAAGAUUUAGGAAAAAUCACAAUAGUAUGGUCAUUGGGAUGUAUGCACUUUGCUAUGUGAGUAAUGUAGGUGGCAGCCGAAGUUCAUUUGUACCACCGUUCCUGAUGCCACAUUUUCUAUUCAUUUGCAUUUUCUUUUCUUCUUUUGGUUUGUUUUUAGUGGUUUCUAAUGAAACAUUAAGAGUCUCGCUUAUAAGGAUGAACAUGGCAGUGUAGUGCAGUCAAGUCAGUGCCAAAUGUAUUUGUGUGUAGGUUUUAAGUGGUGAGGGACAUUUGUAAUCACUUGGAGCCGAUGUCAGUAGUCAUACAUGGCUGAAAUGUGGCAAAGCCCAAGAGUCAAUGAGGUGCGGAGUAGCAGUAUAAUGAGCUCACCAUUCUGUGAGGUGCAGGAUGCAAUGCAGUCUUGUUGGCCUUUAAAAUUUUUUAUCUCCUGCUCUGUAAAUUGAACUUUAAGGCUCCUGCAGGGUCUAGCAAGGUAUUAACAGAGCAGGAGAAAAUACAUUUUAAAUUAAACACAAUUUGCAGUAAAGGAAGUGUAAACAUUAGAUGACUCUUUACAGGAAGCCUGUGUAACUCACAUGCAGGGAGGUGUGCCUAUGGCAGCAUAAACAAAGUGAUAUAAAUCCUAAAUGCCAGAGAAUUGAGCAGUGAGAACGCAGAGGCAUUAUCUAGACAGCAAAAAUCUGCUUCAUUAAAAGACCACUAUAGUGCCAGGAAAACAAACUAGUUUUCCUGGCACUAUGUAGUCCUUAGGUCCCCCCCACCCUCAUGGCCCCCCUCCAGCUGGGCUGAAGGGGUAAAAACCCCUCCAAGAGCGUCCUCACAUCUAUUCAUAUAGAAUUCUUAGUAUUCCCCCCACAAGAUUCUACUAACUAAAUCACCAUAGUGCUGAAAAAAAACAGUGAGGUGAUCAAUAAAGAAAAAUAGUAAGCCGACGCGCGAUUCAGCGCUUCUAGAGCACCUUCAUCCGGGGCAUUCAAGCCAGCCCCUCACCUAGGUCUCUUUUUAUCUGUCAGUGUAAACCAGUCACAUGGUGACUCCAGCCAAUAGCCACCCUGGAGGGCAUGUAAAUACUUAGACAAUUAACUGAUACCUUCUCUCCGAUUUUGCCCCUAGCAUACCACCCAUGUGUGGAGAGUCACUCCCUCCUCCACAGCUCAUCAACGCAAUGAGGAGGAUGGGAGGAGUCACACUAGGCGGAAUCAUGUUCAAAGUGUGUGGUCUCCUAACGUAUGAUUACCUAAUAACCCACAUCAAAGGGGUUUAAGAGGGGGUGAACACUUUAAAACACAAGUGUUGAACACCCAUGCUUAUUACCAUGUCCCAUAUUCAAUGAUAUGGUGGGUUAUUUACAUCAAUGUAUGGCAUUCCAGUAUACAGCAGCCAAUAUUACUUUGAAGUUGGUAACCACACAGUAAAGAUUAUAUGGUCACCUGUUCAUUAAUUUAGAUAAAAAAUUAUGCACUAAAGAAAACAUAACAUAGAAAGUGUAAUAAAUGAUUUUUUUUUUAGCACUAUGGUGAUUUAGUUAGUAAAAUCUUAUGGGGGGAAUACUAAGAAUUCUAUAUGAAUAGAUGUGAGGACGCUCUUGGAGGGAGUUUUAUGGCUGGACUUGGUGAAUAACUGGGGUAUUCUCUGGGAGUCUUAGGGUAGAGAAUGACUGGUUAUUUGUUUGCAUCAAGCCUUCUUUUUGCUUUAAAGGACCAUAUAGUGCCAGGAAAACAUACUCAUUUUCCUGGCACUAUAUUGGCCUGAGGGUGCCCACACCCUCAGGGACCCCCUCCCGCCAGGCUCUGGGGAAAGGAAAGGGUUAAAUCAUACCUUUUUUACAGCGCCAGGCGGGGAGCUCUCCUCCUCCUCCGAUCCUCCUCUUCGGCUGAAUGCGCAUGCGCGGCAGGAGCUGCGCGCGCAUUCAGCCAGUCUCAUAGGAAAGCAUUCAUAAUGCUUUCAUAUGGACGCUGGCGUCUUCUCACUGUGAUUUUCACAGUGAGAAGCAAACAAACGCCUCUAGCGGCUGUCAAUGAGACAGCCACUAGAGGCUUUAGAGGCUGGAUUAACCCUAAUAUAAACAUAGCAGUUUCUAGGAAACUAUGUUUAUAAAAAAAAAGGGUUAAUCCUAGAGGGACCUGGCACCCAGACCACUUCAUUAAGCUGAAGUGGUCUGGGUGCCUAGAGUGGUCCUUUAAUUCUUUCAGUUAGCAACCUUGAAGUCGAAUCUAACCUAGAUAAUCAUAUGAAGGCUGAUGCAUAUUUCCUUUUUAGGUGCAACAAUUAGUUUUUUCUAUGCAAACUGUUUAUUGUUGCUUGGAUGUACUGAUACAGAAGGAUAUUUUUUUUUCUUUUAUGUACAAACAGUAUACGGAUGUUAGUUUAGUAGUUAUAUAGGGUUUCCUAUUCCCUCCUAUUUUCCACUAUCAAGGUUUUGUAAUUGAUAUGUAUAUCUAAUACUAGGUUUUUCCUAGGUAUUUUCCCUGACUCCCACUCCCAUCUCCCUCAGCGACUCCCAGACAGUCCAUUAUAGAUUCUCCCCUAUAAUUUUCCUCUCUGCAGAGCCUCUUAGUUUGGCUUUUUUUAAUGGGUUGAUGCUGUACACGUAUGUCUCUAUAUAUUUCAAUAAAAGUGUAUAUCAAUCAUUUAAUUUUACAAGGGAUUCUUUCUGUGUCAGCUGGACUUUAAGCCCAUUGGAUAUUUAUGUGUUCACGUGUAUAAGUAUACAAGGCAUUAUGGAAAAGUGAAGAUCCUUAAAAACAGCUUAAUAUCUGGUUCUAUCAUCAGUUCUUUGAUGUUUUUACGUUAAGCAUGUUUCAUAUGACAUGGCACUAAGCACUUCAACAGUAUGUACUGGGUGAGUUACCUGUACAGUACAAGAAGAAAAAACCCCAAAACAUGUGAGUGUGUAGAAUGGAUCCCACUAUGAGCUAGUGAGGGGACAUGCAUGGGCUUCCUCCUAACCUCUCAUCCAUGGAGGAGCAUGAGAUGGAGUUGUUAAAUUACUUUUUUUGUUACAUUAAUUGAUCAUUGCCAUCUGAAUCACCCAUACCCUUAUUAUCCGCUCAUGGAAAUAAACAUCAUUUAAAAGAAAGAAAUGGAAAAAAAAAUCUUAAAUCUCCACUAAAUUAAAUGUGCAUCUGCAUAGACUGCUUUAAUUGGCAAAAUGAAACCAUAAUAGACAAUUUAGUGGCUUUACCCUGUUUAAUUUCUGUUCCAACUAAUCACAUUGCUCAUUUCCCAUAGAUUCCAAGGGGUCUAUGGAGGUCUUCUACAGUACUGGAAUAGUGGCUUGCAUUUUUGGACACCACAUGAUUAAUAGAGUGUCCUGAAAACCACUCGACAGGUUUGUGUUUUCCCCCACAGUAUGUAUUUACUAAAGUUAAAUUCAAAAUGAAUUGAAAGGGAAUUUUAAAUGUACGGUCAAAACUGUGAAAUUAUCAACGUCAACUCUGCUUUCAGUACUGCUACACUGGCCUUAAAUUUGAAAUGACUGAAUUCUCAUUUUUUACAGUCAUUUACUGAAGUGAGAAUUGUUGUUAAAGUGAAUUUUACGUUUAAGUUGAUCAACUAGAAACAGUUUACAAAUGAAUCUGGCUUCCAGAUGAGCUAAUUUGGUCUGAAAUUGAAAAUGAACUUUAAAUUCAAUUUGAAUUACUGACAAUUCACACUAUAGUAAAUAACUCUGAGUGUGAGUGUGAGUGAAGUAAAAGCAGCCAUUUGGCUACCAACUGACUAUAGCAGUGGUUCCCAAACCAGUCCUCACCCUUACCUUCAGUCCUCGAUUUUGUGUUGGCUCAGUUGCGUCCAAGGUGUUUUCUUUGGUUUUUCUAAAAACACCUUCAACACCACUGGGUAAUCCCUAAAUCCUGGACUGGUAGUAGGGUGAGAGGACUGGCUUGGGGACCACUGGGUUAUAGCAUUGGAUCCAGGCAAUCCCUGCUAUUUUUUUUUUUAUCCUUGAAUCAAUAUAAACUGAGUUGUUUUUUUUCCAAUCCGGUUUACUGUUGAGAUAGUUGAUUAUAUUGCUAAUUCACAACAACACAGUUAAUGAAGUCCUGUGCAUGCCUGUAUUAACCCUUUGAGUGCCACAGUCAUAAUCAAUGUUUUUAUAAGUAUAGAGUUACUGCAUAAUUUGGUGUUUCGUGGUCGAGUAUACUUAUCUUUACGAGGUCUGAUAAUGAUGUUGAAGUUUACGAUAAAAAAAUAAAUAAAAAUCUUCCAAAGUGGACAUGGAACACAGCUCUUUAUCAUAAUCAGUAAUUUAUUUAUACAGUGGCUUACGUGCCUGGAAAGCUAACUAUCAUAAAUAGCUUAUCAUAUUGUUUAGAAAUAAAGAAAUAAUCAAUGCAUACACUAUUAAUGUUGUACUAGAAAGAACACCACAAUCCUAUUUUAUCGAUCUGCAGAAAAUAUUGAUAUGUCUUAUUUUGUCUUUGUUUAGAAAUUUUGCUCCAUUCAAUCAUUUACAGAUGCAACACAAAUUGGCACAUAAUCCAUUAUACAGUUUUGUCUUAUAAAAUGGUUUAUAAAGCAAGCUUGUGAGUUCUGUCCUCUCGUGUCUGUCUCUAUACAUUCUGCUUUUGGCAGAGUUUGUAAUGCCUCUCACGUCCUUAAAUAUAAAACUGUAAUUUCUCCUUUCCUACCUUUUGUCUCAUAGUCACAAUUUGCAGGGUUUUAGAUAAGAAACAUUUGUGGGGUCCUACCCUUGUUAACACAAACAUAAAAAAAUAACCGCACAAACAAACAUAGUUAGCCAUUCAUUUAACCAGACAUACAUAUUGACUUGAGAAAACAAGUAGCUGGUUGCACUCACCUAAACAUGCAGAAAUAGGGUGCUGCUGGGAGCCAAUAAGUACAAUAAAAAUGAAAAUCCAGCGCACUCCCAUAUUUACUAAACAGCAACUUUGGUGCUGACAGAUUUUGUUAGCCUAAUCUAGGCAAAAAAAUAAUGGGGGUUUAGUUACAUUGUAUGAUCAUACAUUGCAUAAGACAUUAGGCUUAUGCAAGGUAUGAUCAUAUAAUUUAACUAAAGCCCCAUUAUCUUUUGCCCAGAUUAGGUGUUUUUAAAAAAAAAAAAAAAAACCUAACAAAAUCUGUCAGUACCAAAGUUGCUGUUUAGAAGAUAAGGGAGUGCACUUGAUUUUCAUUUUUAUUAUACAUAUUGAGUUGUCUAUCCACAUACAUGUAAUUACUCAAAUGCACAUAUGUGCAUACAUAACCUACCCCUACCUAAUGCAAGACAUUCUCUUCAGACACACAAGGAUGUAUACACAAACAUUAUCUAACAUGCGUACAUAAACAUCCGUUAAACUGCAUACAUAGACAUUAUUUGUAUGUACACACAGAAACUAACAAUCAGACACAGACACAAACUAACACGCAUCCUUAGACACAUACAGAAAUUAACACACAUCAAUAGACCUACAAUAAAAUACAUUCACUGACAGUCACACUGCCAAAAAAAUACAUUAUCACACAAUUAUAAUCUAUCUCCUUCUCUUUCUGCUUACUUUCUGCCUGAGGGAGGGAUAGGAGAGGCUUCAAACUGCUGUCCCAGGUGUCCAUUGUAGGGGGAGCAGGAGAGUUGUGCACUGACCAGCAUAGCCUUUCUUCUUCUUUUAUUAUUUAUAUAGCACCAGCAAAUUCCGUAGCGCUGUACAAUUCUUGUUCCUCUUUUGUUAAUAGCACAGGUUACAAGGGCCGGUAUAUCACAUCAAAUCCCUUGCACCAACUUCCACUAACACUUCUACUAACAUAUGUAGUAGAUUUGAAAUAAUUUGCCUUGUCUGAAUCGAUUCGUCCAAAAAAACAAUUUCUUAUAGGCAAUUUGGGUCUCCUCCAUGUGGGAUUUUGUUUUGGAUUCAUUUUGUCCAUGUGAUUGUUUUGGGAAAACCGAUUUAAAUAAAACCAAUAUGUCACAAACAUGCACCUAUUAGUUUACUGCAAAAUACAGGGUUGGGUCAAAUUUCAUGGUAUUUCAUGGCAUUUGACACGUAAAAUUUUUGUUGCAGGUACAUAUUAUAACGGGGUCUUGGGAGAUUCAUCAUGGGUAAUUUCAUGAAGGAACAAUGAUCAAAAAUAAUGGAAUUUUUUUUUCAAAAUUGAGACAACUGUUCAGGAAGUGGUUAAUUGAAAGAAACUCCCAGAUUAUUGACAGAUUAACAUUCCCCGAUCUUUCAGCUCACAAUUGCUUCAUGUGGGGAUAUCUGUAGGUGUGUGUGUACAUGAACAAACUGCGUACACUUGAGAAACUCAGGGAAAUUAUCGAGGCAGAAAUUUAAGCGCUAGAGCCUCAAACAUCAACUAAUGUUAGGAAAAAUGCAAUCGAAGAGCAAAUUAAAAAGAUGUCCUCUUCUGUACCUAGUCAAACAACUCUCCAUACGUUAAGCAUUCAUUGUAUGUAAUAUCAUUGAACUUGGUUCAUUAAUAAAAAAGUUAUUGACUCCUCCAACCACAUUCUGAAUUUGUGCCACCCUGUAUAUACAGAAUAUAAAUUAUGUAUCAGUACACUGUGUGCGUUUUUGUGCCAUUUCGUUCAUAGAUCGAGUGAGAAUAAGAAAGAUAUAGAGGGGGGAAAAACAGGAGCAGUAAAAACAUUCCUUUAUUGAAAUAUUCUAUAUUUACUAAAUAUAUAAUCUAUAAAUAUACAUUUAUUUACUGUUGCUAUUUUUUCUCCUCUGUUGGUCGAUUCUCACUUGAUCUGUGAACAAAGUCAACAUUAAAGGACCACUAUAGGCACCCAGACCACUUCAGCUUAAUGAAGUGGUCUGGGUGCCAGGUCCAUCUAGGAUUAACCCUGCCUGCUGUAAACAAAGCAGUUUCAGAGAAACUAUGUUUAAAUAUGGGUUAAUCCAGCCUCUAGUGGCUGUCUCAUUGACAAAAAAAGUCACUUAUGGAAAAAAGAUGAUCAGUGGUUAGGACAGCCAGUAAAGGACCACUAUAGUGCCAGGAAAACAAACUCGUUUUCCUGGCACUAUAGAAUUAAUAGGUACCUCCCACCCUCAUGGACCCCCUCCCGCCGGGCUGAAGGGAGAGGAAGGGGUUAAAUCACUUACCUUUCUCCAGCGCCGGGCAUUCAGUCAAUGGUCAGCCAGUCCAUAGGAAAGCAUUCUCAAUGCUUUCCUAUAGGCGCUGGCGUCUUCUCACUGUGAAAAUCACAGUGAGAAGCGCUUUAGCUAAAGGCGCUUCUCACUGUGAUUUUCACAGUGAGAAGACGCCAUUGUCUAUAGGAAAGCAUUGAGAAUGCUUUCCUAUGGACUGGCUGACCAUUGACUGAAUGCCCGGCGCUGGAGAAAGGUAAGUGAUUUAACCCCUUCCUAUCCAUUCAGCCCGGCGGGAGGGGGUCCAUGAGGGUGGGAGGUACCUAUUAAUUCUAUAGUGCCAGGAAAACGAGUUUGUUUUCCUGGCACUAUAGUGGUCCUUUACUGGCUGUCCUAACCACUGAUCAUCUUUUUUCCAUAAGUGACCUUUUUUUGUGUGCCAACAAUGGAAAUCUGAAUCAUUAAACAAGCAAAACAGCUUGUUCAUUCCUUGUUUAAUUUGUUCCAUGAUUUGGUAUUAUGGUUAUUCAGAUUUAGGACACUUUUAAUGGAUAUCGAUUCAUUUGACGCCGAAUGCACACGUUGUAUAUGUGUUUAUGACUUUAGAGAACCAAUGACUGUGUUGGCUGUGAUUAACACACAAUUAACAACUCAAUGCAAGGUAUCCAGUAUGUCUUUGUGAAGGACACUCAAUCAUAACUCUCUACAUGAACUCCACUUGCCCCACCAAAAUGUGGCCUUGUUUUAAAUUAAAGUGUGCUUGACUCCUUUUAUUCUAGCAUGUGUACCUAAUUAUGCCUCUGUCUAUACCCCAUUCAGUGAGUCAUUGCUGAUGUUUGUAGGGAGCUCUGGAUAAGAGUUCUAUAUAUGAUCUCCUAAAUAAAAUAAGUAUUAUGUAAAUAUAUGAUAUACGUAGGAAAAAAAUCAACAAAUACAAAAUUAAAACGCGCACACACACAUAUAAGAAAAUAUAUAUAUAUAUAUUCUUCGACUAAAUACCAGAUACAUUUCUUCGAAGAUGCCUUACUAAUUCUUAUUUUUUUUCUCAGUUAUUAAAUGGUUACUGUGCGCACCUUGCCAACACAAGUGAUUUGAAGUGGUCAUGGUGCCUGGGGUCUCUAUGUUCAGCGUUUCACUCCACCUCUGGCUGCAUCAUUGGAGGGUCUUUAGCCAACCUGGAACAAGAGAUUUGGCUGGCUAAUGCUAAUUCUGUACAUAUUCCUAAGCACGGGAGUACAUUCAUUGUCUGAGAGUGGUUAUUUACACUUUCAACCAAUCAUUGCCCGGUGGGACGGACAUCUAGUUUCUGCAGCUUUGCAGAAUACGGUUUUCGUCACUAGUCACUGUAGGACAGUCAGCGCCCGGUGGUGAUCCAAGUAAGAGGGUUGUACUUAUCUAAACAUAGAGUUAUAGUACUAUACAAUAUAUAGUAUGCUAUUGAUUCCACGGCUGACAUAAUUGCUGAAUUUAACUUAAGAGCCUCCAUGUGUUUCCAAAGAAUUGCACAUACAGCUCUGCAAAAUUGUUACCAUUUUCAUAAUGUAUAGAUUGUGUGAAGUUGAAUGUUACAACGUAUCUGUUAUUAUCCAAAAAUUCUAUCACAAGCAUUCAUUAUUUGGGCUUCUUGGUGAAGCUGAGAUAUAUUUGCAGAUAAAAGAGUGGAAAAUGAAAGUGAUCUCAGAAAUGGUGAGGUAAUAAUUAUGGAGCAUUUUUAACCAAAAGCACAGAGGCCAUAAUAAGGCAUUAUAUAUGAAUACACAAUUGUUUAUUUGCCAAACGUUGAAUGACAGUGCACCUCACAACAGACAUAAAUUAAAGUUAAAAUAGUCACGCUGGGAAUAGUUUACAUCUUAGCAAAAAUGUAUCUUUUUACAAAUCUUCUAUAUCUUCUCAAAUUCUGCAAACCUUUAGUUAAGCAUUCCCUCACGUCUGGUAGACUUUGCUUUGGUGUAAUAACCCAGGACUACUUUCUAGCAAAGGUUAAAGACACUGUGGCAGUGAUGGCUGAUCAUGUUUAUCACCAGACUCACCCAAGGAAUUUGACCCCAACUUCUCUGUCUGGAAACCCCACCUCCCCAACUCAAUGGACAAUGGAAAUAUCAAACUGACUGUAAAAAAUCUGUAUUUAAUUUAUUUACCCAUCAAAUGCCAGAGAAAUGGCGAGCACGUUGCAAAGCAUAUCUGACAUGGAAGCAUUAUUAAACAUAUUGCAAAUUAUGUAUUCAUCAGUUUGCAGUAAACUACUUACUCUUUUGAGACACUCUAUUCCUGCUGUGAUAGAAUAAAUUACUCAAAAAUAGGAAAUUAUUUUAAUUCCAAGCACAGAACCAUCCAAUUUAAAAAAGAAGACUUGAAGAUGGAGGACAAGUACAAAAUGACAUGAAAUGGACCUGAAAUUCUGUGUUUGGGGGACACACAUACAGUAUUCUAAUUGGGAGACACGGUGGCAGCAGACACACAGUGCUGGAAUUAAGGAACACAGUUUGAGCAGACUAACAGUGCUGUUAUUGGAACUGGCAUUUUAACUAGAUGGCUUCCCUUAACAGCCUAACAUUUGUUUUUUU